Ostrea edulis (European flat oyster) is the source of this 1061-nucleotide long non-coding RNA. RefSeq lists it as uncharacterized. The record is from RefSeq and is a predicted model, not a curated record. The transcript has 4 exons. NCBI's taxonomy places the organism in Eukaryota, Metazoa, Mollusca, Bivalvia, Ostreida, Ostreidae.
UUAUUAACUUCCGGGUACAUCAACAUCUCAGAUUGCACUGAGCUGUGUAGAGAGUGGUAUACAUAGAUAUAGCGUUAUCAAUCGAUUAUGUGGAAGUUUAACGAGAUAAACAUGGGAAUUGAAGCAUUAGUGGAGUGGUCGAGGAUUCUUCGCUUCGUGUUUGACGAAUUACGUGUAAUAACCGCCAGUGUACAAGCAUCGACGAGGGUACGUCUUGCAGAUAAAGAGCAGAUAUGCCUUGAAUCUGAGGAUAAAGGUGUUGUGUAUUGUGCAGUCAUCAUUAAUGUGGAUGUCUGAUGCCAGUAUGCUCAUAGUGGGGCAGUAUAAGUGUCGAUCUUCAUAUGGCAGCAAAUUUUCAAAGGCAGAUAUAAGAAGGCAAAUAAAACUGUUCAAUGUAAAAUACGCCAGUAGUUGGAUAAAACAUCCAAAGUCGGCAGUCAAAGGUCACAACAACAAUGGAGGAAUUAACUGCAUCCUCAUUCCGCAGGGCAACAGGCCAUUUUCAGCAACCCCUGAAAUUCUUAAUUGAGGCUAAGUGCCCAUUUUCAGCUCGAACAAUGACAAUUAAAGAGGCCUGUGCAAAUGUUGGGAUUUCCCUCUUGAAUGUGAUGUAAGAGAUGGUUCACUGCCCAUUAAAACAAAAUAUGAAUAUUGGCAUCAGAUUCAAGGACAACAACACCUGAAAGACACCCAAUGCUGUGAUUUGCUAGUGUGGAUUCCUAGUGACACUCAAAUACAUUGACAAAGAUGUAUUAUGGUCAACUUUUUAAGCGUGAUAGAGUUUAAUUAUAAUAAUAAAGUAUUUUUGCAGUCUAGAACACACACACAUAACCACAUGUACAUAUACUUUAUUAUGAUAUCAGUGGUGCAUCUAUCAAAGUUAUGUAAUUACAAGUAUAUUUAUUGAAUAAACAUUAUAGACAGAGUUUUUCUUAUUUUAGAUGAACCAAAAUUUGUAUUGACAUAGUGUCCAGCUUUACGAAAAUCAUUGAAUUACAUGCAUUCACUAAAAACAAUGGAUUUUACUUCUUUUUUAAUAAUGCAGAUUUGAAAACCUUCAG